Elaeis guineensis (African oil palm) is the source of this 1899-nucleotide RNA transcript. It is a transcript of the gene named vacuolar protein sorting-associated protein 20 homolog 1, with no coding region annotated. NCBI's taxonomy places the organism in Eukaryota, Viridiplantae, Streptophyta, Magnoliopsida, Arecales, Arecaceae. The record is from RefSeq and is a predicted model, not a curated record.
UUCAGAACUUUUUUUAUUUAUGUUCUUUCUUUCUUCACAAAUAUAGGAUGUGUUUUUGAAUGUUACAAUUCAGACAAUGCGCUUGGGACGAACACUUGUUAUAUUUGAGCUUCUGAUGUGUUAGUGCAGGGGCGGGCAGCGAAACGAAAAGAAAAGGAAAAGACGAGGGAGAGAGAGAGGAGCCGAAAAAGGUUGCUCGUGUUUCUCUCCUUCCUUCCUCAACUCCAAGCGGGUGCGGGAGAGAGAUAGGGGGAAGGGCGCACCGAUUUCCCCUUCCUUCCUUGGAUUUCCCAUACCCCUCUCUCUCUUUUAUCAGGAGAGCAAGGAUUAGGGUUUGGGGAUUAUUUUGGAGAGCUGCGGAUAUGGGGAAUAUUUUCGUGAAGAAACCCAAGAUCACGGACGUGGAUCGUGCCAUCCUCUCCCUCAAGACCCAACGCCGCAAGCUCGCUCAAUACCAGCAGCAGCUUGAUGCUGUUAUUGAAGCUGAGAAGCAAGCUGCAAGGGACCUGAUUCGAGAGAGGAGGAAAGACAGGGCCCUCCUUGCACUAAAGAAGAAGAAAGCUCAGGAAGAAUUAUUGAAGCAAGUUGAUGCUUGGUUAAUUAAUGUUGAGCAACAAUUGGCAGAUAUUGAACUGGCAAGUAAACAGAAAGCUGUAUUUGAAAGCUUGAAGGCAGGCAAUAAUGCCAUUAAAGCUAUACAAAGUGAGAUCAAUCUGGAAGAUGUUCACAAGUUGAUGGAUGAUACAGAAGAGGCAAAGGCUUAUCAAGAUGAAAUAAAUGCAAUCCUAGGCGAGCAGUUAUCUGCUGAGGAUGAGGAAGAUGUUUUAGCAGAAUUCGAGAACUUGGAAAAUGAGAUCACCCUGCAGUCUUUGCCAGCAGUUCCUGUUUCAUCAGUACCAUCCACAGAAGUAGCUGGAAAGACACCUAAACUGCAGCCAGAAGCGGGACUCCAAGUUGAAGGCAAAGAAGAUGAGGUUCUUGAGCUUCCUGAUGUACCUACCACAACCCCAGUCCCAGUGGCAUCGGAUGGCAUCUCAACUAAAGCAACAAGGACAAAAGUUUUGGAGGAACCACUACCUGCUUGAAUGACAGAUUGCAUUUGGAAGGGAACAACACUUCAACUGCUUGUUUCAUGUGGUUCCGCAAUUUCUUUUGGAUGACAUGAUGAACUCGGGGCUAGGUGGAUGCUGUAACAUAGUGUGCACACAACCCAGGAGACAGGACUGGUCAUUAUAGACGGCUGGUCAAAACUUACUGCCCUGGCACAGAUUGCUGUUCGUUUUAAGGAACUCUGCGUGACACUCCAUGAUGUUCUAAAGGAACUUAUCAGCAAGCCAGAGAGGGCUACCUUUGUCAACAAUGGAGUGGUGAAAUCUAUUGUCCAUUUGUUGCUAGAGGAAGAUAAAGCUCAACAAUCUCUACAUUGAGGCUCUGGAUGGGCAAUUUAGAGCUGGAAAAGUCGGCAUGCUUGUCCUGUUGCCAUAAUGUAAAAAAGCAGAGAAGCAUUAUACUUGUGUAAAAGAACUGCAAUGACAAUCGUGACCUCAAGCAAAAAUAUGUGAACAUGUUUCAAGAGAUACUAAUCAGGAUUAUCUUGCCAAAUCAGAGAGGACAUUCCAUUCCUGGCCAAGCAGAAAGGUGUGAACUUACUGAAAUUUCUAAUCCAGCCAUUAGAGGAGUUCGGUGGUAUAGACGGGUGAACAAGUUCUUUGACGAAUUGGCUCCUUCUGCUGUAAACUAAAGAAGUAUAGGAGAAGAAGGUGCUGCUAUUGGAAAUUCUGUUAUUUAAAUUGAUGUACGCAUGUCAUGGAUGGAUGUAGACCUUCAACUGGUGUAGAAUCUCAAUGAAGAAAAGCCCUCUCACUAAACAUUUGAUUAUAAAAACAUUUGUUAUUAGAU